Molecule: long non-coding RNA, 451 nt
Organism: Lytechinus variegatus (green sea urchin)
Lineage: Eukaryota; Metazoa; Echinodermata; Echinoidea; Temnopleuroida; Toxopneustidae
Exons: 4
Source: RefSeq, a predicted model, not a curated record
UCCUGGACCUGUCAAGCAGUCUUCUUGAUUAGAAAUUCAAUUACAUCGGCAUCAGAGGUACCAUACAGUGUAGGUCUCUAUGGAUUAUCUCCAUCUUCUUCACAGCCUUAAAUUACUAAGAGCUACCUUUCCCAAGACAUUGUGGGCUACGUGAUGCUAAAAAUCCAUCAAAAUCGUACAAGGAUGGCCAUCUCGAGAUCAGUAUCGACUGUCAAAAGAAACCGUCACCAAUAUGCUGGAAGCCGAAAUGAAGAGGGACACACAGAGGAUUGAUCAACUUCCUGUUUAUUUGCAGGUGUUGACAACUCUCCAUUUUUAUGCAGUGGGAUCAUUUUAAAAGAUGCAUGGUGAUGAGGCAGCAAUAUCGCAGUCAUCAAUGUGUCAGAAGCUAAAGCAAGAAGGAAGAGGCAAUACAUGAAGAUUCCCACAACAAGAGAAGUUGAAGCAACUC